Molecule: ribosomal RNA, 427 nt
Filed under: uncultured bacterium
Lineage: Bacteria
Description: bacterial SSU rRNA
Rfam family: Bacterial small subunit ribosomal RNA
Source: RNAcentral
UGGGGAAUUUUGGACAAUGGGCGCAAGCCUGAUCCAGCAAUGCCGCGUGCAGGAUGAAGGCCUUCGGGUUGUAAACUGCUUUUGUACGGAACGAAACGGUCUUUUCUAAUACAGAAGGCUAAUGACGGUACCGUAAGAAUAAGCACCGGCUAACUACGUGCCAGCAGCCGCGGUAAUACGUAGGGUGCGAGCGUUAAUCGGAAUUACUGGGCGUAAAACGUGCGCAGGCGGUUAUGCAAGACAGAGGUGAAAUCCCCGGGCUCAACCUGGGAACUGCCUUUGUGACUGCAUAGCUAGAGUACGGUAGAGGGGGAUGGAAUUCCGCGUGUGGCAGUGAAAUGCGUAGAUAUGCGGAGGAACACCGAUGGCGAAGGCAAUCCCCUGGACCUGUACUGACGCUCAUGCACGAAAGCGUGGGGAGCAAACA